AACGAACGCUGGCGGCAGGCCUAACACAUGCAAGUCGAGCGGACCCUUCGGGGUUAGCGGCGGACGGGUGAGUAACGCGUGGGAAUAUGCCCUUCUCUACGGAAUAGUCCUGGGAAACUGGGGGUAAUACCGUAUACGCCCUUUGGGGGAAAGAUUUAUCGGGGAAGGAUUAGCCCGCGUUGGAUUAGGUAGUUGGUGGGGUAAUGGCCUACCAAGCCGACGAUCCAUAGCUGGUUUGAGAGGAUGAUCAGCCACACUGGGACUGAGACACGGCCCAGACUCCUACGGGAGGCAGCAGUGGGGAAUCUUAGACAAUGGGGGCAACCCUGAUCUAGUCAUGCCGCGUGAGUGAUGAAGGCCUUAGGGUUGUAAAGCUCUUUCAGCUGGGAAGAUAAUGACGGUACCAGCAGAAGAAGCCCCGGCUAACUCCGUG
This 433-nucleotide ribosomal RNA is filed under the name uncultured bacterium. RNAcentral describes it as "partial 16S ribosomal RNA". It matches the Rfam family "Bacterial small subunit ribosomal RNA", at positions 29 to 507 of the family's 1533-position model. The record is from RNAcentral.